This 75-nucleotide transfer RNA is filed under the name Candidatus Vogelbacteria bacterium. RNAcentral describes it as "tRNA-Trp". It matches the Rfam family "tRNA". From Rfam's summary of the family: Transfer RNA (tRNA) molecules are approximately 80 nucleotides in length. Their secondary structure includes four short double-helical elements and three loops (D, anti-codon, and T loops). The record is from RNAcentral. Lineage: Bacteria; Candidatus Vogeliibacteriota.
GGGUCCAUAGUUUUAAUGGUAAAACAGCGGUCUCCAAAACCGUCGUUCUCCGUUCGAAUCGGAGUGGACCCGCCA